Molecule: long non-coding RNA, 2329 nt
Filed under: Homo sapiens (human)
Lineage: Eukaryota; Metazoa; Chordata; Mammalia; Primates; Hominidae
Description: HSALNT0397451
Source: RNAcentral
CUGGUGUCCUGCCCAGCACAGGGGCCUGGAGGGACCUGCUGCUGGGGGUGGGGGAAUCUGGCACAUGCCUGAGGACAAGGGUGGGACCAGGGCCUCCCUGAGCUCCACCAUGAAGCUGCUCACAGUGCCCAGGCCCUGACGCUGGUUACACAAGGGCUGGGCCUGCCUUCCCGCCCACUGGGGGUGUGGGACUGUGUGUGCGCCCUGGCCUCAUCACACACCUGCUGUGUGACCCGGCACAGGUUUGGCAGCCUCUCUGUUUGAGCAUGUCUGAGAGGCGUGCCGAGAUUCCCAGAGGCAAGAUGAUGAAUGGUGUCCCUCCAGAACAGAGCAACUGCAGGAACCUGAUUCCAGGACGAGUCACCAUGAGGAGGCCAGGGACCAGGCCACCUGGCCACCAAGGGUCUCACUCUCUCGCCCUGGCUGGAGUGCAUGAUGCGAUCUUGGCUCAACUGCAACCUCGACCUCCUGAGUUCAAGCGAUUCUCGUGCCUCAGCCUCCCGAGUAGCUGUGAUUACAAGUGUGUGCCACCAUGCCGGGCUAAUUUUUGUAUUUUUAGUAAAGAUAGGGUUUCGGCAUGUUGGCCAGGCUGGUUUUGAACUCCUGGCCUCAAGUGAUCCGCCCAACUUGGCCUCCCAAAGUGCUGAGAUUACAGGCUUGAGCCACUGCGCCCGGCCGUAGAGCUUCCAUUUCUAAAUAAUUCCAUUAGAAAUUCCAGAAUUGGAUGCUGUUGGACCAUGGGCUCAUCACUGAACCAGCCACUGUAUCCAGGAGCAUAGAAGACGCUGAUUGGCCAGUCCUGAGUCACGUCCUUACCCCACACUUCCAACACACACACACACACACACACAGUUUGGGGGCUCAGCCCCACCCACACUGCAAGGAAUGAGCGUGGGGGAGGGAGGUUCUCCAAGGAAAAUCCAUGUGUUGGUUGGAAGGAGAGAAAUGGAUGCUGAGACAGGCAAAACAGUGGGUGUCCACUGUGCCUGGCCUUGGUCCCAGGAAGAAGCAGAGCCCAUGGUCAGUGGGGAUGGCUCAGGGAGACCCCUUUACUGCAGCUUCAAGAGAAGGGUGGAGGGUUUCUGGAAUCAGCCAGUGUGGUUUGGGCCCCAGAUUUCUUCCCCAUUUCUGCCGGCCUCAGGCUACCAGGGGUCUCCCUUCACAGGCAGCGUGGGCUCUUGGACCCCAAGCUGUUCAUGGGGCCUGUGACUCCAGCCCAGGGAAGGCAGGGUUCAGGGGAUAUGCAUGGCAGUGGACAGCAGCCCCCAGCGAGGCAGAGGGCAUGGGAGGCUCCAGGCGGAGCCCUCCCUACGGGUCCCACCCAGUCCCUGCCUUGGGUGGUGGGACCUGUACCCUGAGGCCUCUGAAGCCACCAGGUCCUGUCCUGAUGGGCAUCUGGAGUCCCUGACCCUAGCCCCUCUGAGGUCUCUGGUCGCUGAGGUGGGGACUCAGCGUCCUCUUCCCUGGGAAGACUCACUUCCCACAAAGCUAGGUCCGCCGCCAACCCCCAGCCCCAACAUUUAGAGCUUUUAUUUUGAAAAAUAAAAAAAUAUGUUGAACAUUUCAAGAUGACUUUUCCCCUGAGCCACCACUGCCCCGCUGUGGUCCCAGGGAAGAUGCCGUUGAUAGCGGAGAUUAGGGGAGGACCCCUGCGCCUCUGGCUUUAGGAAGGGUCUCCAAAGAGCCUAGUUGCCCCUUUUGCCCUUCAUUCAUUCACCUGCACUCAAGGAUGUUCUUGGAGGUGGGAGGGCACCCACUUGCCGAGCCCUGACGGCCUGCAAAUGAGUUCUCAAAUCCCUCCUUUCAUGCUGGUGGCUGUUCUGGGAGGUGGUCCCGCCAUCAGCCUAUCCAUCAGACGAGGGGUUGGGGAGGGUCCCCAAGGCAUACUUUACCCAGAUUCUCUGGCAUGGCACAGCCAGUACGAGGCCCCACCAUGAAGCCACGACCUUCCCAGCCUCACUCUUGCCUAAAAGAACGGGAUGUGAGGUCAGGGAGGGAGAGGGCUGAUGAGGGGUCCUGGAAGGGCAGGAGCCCCCAUCUCAAGAAGAGAGAUCAGUGCUGAGGCCCAGCAGCAGGCAGCCCCACCAGGGACCAGGAGGAGGGCUUCCUCCUGGCGUCUCCAUGCCACAAGAUGUAAAAUAAUCCCCUCGGCUCAGAAAAACACAUUUUAUGGCCAUCUGACUCACUUCCCACAAAGCUAGGUCCACCGCCACCCCCCAGCCCCAACAUUUAGAGCUUUUGUUUUGAAAAAUAAAAAAAUAUGUUGAAAAUUUCAAGAUGACUUUUGAACAUAAAUUGUUCCUUUCCUCACCCUCGUCCCAGGCCCCCC